Molecule: ribosomal RNA, 796 nt
Filed under: Escherichia coli
Lineage: Bacteria; Pseudomonadati; Pseudomonadota; Gammaproteobacteria; Enterobacterales; Enterobacteriaceae
Description: partial 23S ribosomal RNA
Rfam family: Bacterial large subunit ribosomal RNA
Source: RNAcentral
AUAAUGGGUCAGCGACUUAUAUUCUGUAGCAAGGUUAACCGAAUAGGGGAGCCGAAGGGAAACCGAGUCUUAACUGGGCGUUAAGUUGCAGGGUAUAGACCCGAAACCCGGUGAUCUAGCCAUGGGCAGGUUGAAGGUUGGGUAACACUAACUGGAGGACCGAACCGACUAAUGUUGAAAAAUUAGCGGAUGACUUGUGGCUGGGGGUGAAAGGCCAAUCAAACCGGGAGAUAGCUGGUUCUCCCCGAAAGCUAUUUAGGUAGCGCCUCGUGAAUUCAUCUCCGGGGGUAGAGCACUGUUUCGGCAAGGGGGUCAUCCCGACUUACCAACCCGAUGCAAACUGCGAAUACCGGAGAAUGUUAUCACGGGAGACACACGGCGGGUGCUAACGUCCGUCGUGAAGAGGGAAACAACCCAGACCGCCAGCUAAGGUCCCAAAGUCAUGGUUAAGUGGGAAACGAUGUGGGAAGGCCCAGACAGCCAGGAUGUUGGCUUAGAAGCAGCCAUCAUUUAAAGAAAGCGUAAUAGCUCACUGGUCGAGUCGGCCUGCGCGGAAGAUGUAACGGGGCUAAACCAUGCACCGAAGCUGCGGCAGCGACGCUUAUGCGUUGUUGGGUAGGGGAGCGUUCUGUAAGCCUGCGAAGGUGUGCUGUGAGGCAUGCUGGAGGUAUCAGAAGUGCGAAUGCUGACAUAAGUAACGAUAAAGCGGGUGAAAAGCCCGCUCGCCGGAAGACCAAGGGUUCCUGUCCAACGUUAAUCGGGGCAGGGUGAGUCGACCCCUAAGGCGAGGCCGAAA